Molecule: RNA transcript, 918 nt
Organism: Rhododendron vialii
Lineage: Eukaryota; Viridiplantae; Streptophyta; Magnoliopsida; Ericales; Ericaceae
Gene name: transcription factor TGA2.2-like
Exons: 4
Source: RefSeq, a predicted model, not a curated record
GGCGGUCGCCGCCACUAGUCCCAUCCUUGAUGAGGAUCCAUUGUAAAUGUAUAUGAUCUUAGCCUUUGAGUUAAAUUAUGUCGUAGUAUCUCAUUAAUUUAGAAUGUAGUUCAAAUAGAAGUUCCAGUUCUUGGUUAAGCACGAUGAACAAUGAAGAAAAGUGGCUGCAACCCUUCUUUUGUUUGCAAAAAAGAUGAUUUGAACUCAAAGUGAUGUUUAUUGGCUCAAGUUUCUUCAGCAGUUGUUGGGUAUCACUAGCUUGCAGCAAUCAUCCCAACGAGCAGAAGAUGCCUUGUCCCAGGGAAUGGAGGCAUUGCAACAAUCGAGUUGGCCGAGACUUUGGCUGGAUCUCUUGGCCCUUCGGGUUCAUCAGGGAAUGUUGCAAACUACAUGGGACAAAUGGCGAUGGCGAUGGGAAAGCUAGGAACUCUCGAGGGCUUCAUUCGCCAGGCUGACAAUCUAAGACAACAAACACUGCAACAACUGCACCGGAUAUUGACGACCUGCCAAUCGGCUCGUGCUUUGCUUGCUAUAAAUGAUUAUUUCUCUCGGCUUCGAGCUCUUAGCUCUCUAUGGCUUGCUCGUCCACGGGAGUAACGAAGCAUAUGAUACGACACCGAUUCGCAUUUCGAAGGUGAGUCUGGCUGUGUUCUCGGUAGUGCCAUGUAUGAUUCAGAGUUCAAAUUAUAGGCAGUGUUAGUAGCCAUGUGUAGCUGUUGUAAUGAUCUUGUUUCUGUUGUAAUGGUACAGAGUUUUACCUCUAUGGAAUUGUAUGAUCCUUCUGGUGCUGGGUUUGUAUCAUUUUCACUCGAUAGUCACUUUUUCAACAUAGGGUUAUGUAAUCUAAAUCUUUUUCUGAUCAGCCAAAAAGAAGGGGGAAAAAGAUCUUAUUCUGACCAACCGAUUUUAUGGUUUGAA